UCUGUCCUAAGGGAAGAAUGGUUUCAAGUUGAAUAAGCUUGAUUCGUGACGGUACCUUAAAGAAAGCGCCGGCUAACUUCGUGCCAGCAGCCGCGGUAAUACGAGGGGCGCAAGCGUUGUCCGGAUUCAUUGGGUGUAAAGGGUGCGUAGGGGAUCAAUAAGUUGGAAUUUAAAUCCCGCAGCUUAACUGCGGACCUGGUUCCAAAACUGUUGGUCUUGAGUUCGAAAGAGGAGUGGAAUUCCUGUGUAGCGGUGAAUGCGUAAUAUUAGGAGGAACACCAGUGGCGAAGGCGCUCUCUGGUUCGAUACUGACACUAAGGCACGAAAGCGUGGGGAGCAAACAGGAUUAGAUACCCUGGUAGUCCACGCCGUAAAC
This 376-nucleotide ribosomal RNA is filed under the name uncultured bacterium. Its description in RNAcentral is "bacterial SSU rRNA". It matches the Rfam family "Bacterial small subunit ribosomal RNA", at positions 432 to 807 of the family's 1533-position model. The record is from RNAcentral.